UAGGGUUCUUGUAGUUGAAUUACAA
This 25-nucleotide transfer RNA is filed under the name Stenella clymene (Clymene dolphin). RNAcentral's name for it is "partial tRNA-Glu". The record is from RNAcentral. Lineage: Eukaryota; Metazoa; Chordata; Mammalia; Artiodactyla; Delphinidae. RNAcentral also lists the same sequence under 1 other name.